Long non-coding RNA from Gopherus evgoodei (Goodes thornscrub tortoise), 6603 nucleotides. RefSeq lists it as uncharacterized. The record is from RefSeq and is a predicted model, not a curated record. The transcript is spliced from 2 exons. Lineage: Eukaryota; Metazoa; Chordata; Testudines; Testudinidae.
UAUUAGAAAAAGUUUUUUGGGAACCCCUCGCUAGCAUGCCUUCUCAGCUUCUCUUGCUUUGUUUUCUCUCCCUUCUCUCUCAUUUCUUCUGGCUGAUCUUCUGACUUACUUGUCUUUGACCUCAUGUUCUUGCUGCAGAAUAACUCUUUUAGUUCCAUCUCAUUCUUGUUGAAUUCUCUUCUUUAAUAUUUAUAUUCUUCUUUCUUAGAUCUUCUUACUCUCACUGUAGUCCAGGCUGCAUUCACACUUCAUUGAAAAAACUGGCAUUGUUGUUCUCUGCUUCUCGGUGGCUGGAACUCAUGGAUGAUGCAGUGUCUGUCUUGGGCCUCGAGGAAGACUUCCUGGCAUGCUUAUGCACAUGCUUCCUUGCCUCACGGCUAGACCCCAGCAUGGGGUCCAUAACACCUGGUACUGGUGGAACUGGACUGGAGCGUUGCAGUAGGAGGUGCACUCCUUGAUUUGCUCAGGCCAACGUAUGGUGGGGGGAGAGGGGCGAGGGGUGUCUCCAGCCUGGAUAUGACAGCAGACCAUGUGGUGAUGCUGCUUAAGGUAAAAGAAUUCCACCUUCCCAGGUAUGGGCAGGGAAGGAGAGGCAGGUAUUGCACUUGGACACAUGCUGGGCUCCCCCCAAGCAGUAUAGGCAGUGCUGGUGGUCAUCACUGAUUGAAAAUGAGCAAGGGCAGGAAGCGCAUAUCUUGAACCCCAUUGUCUUUGUCCUGAUCCAGUACCCAGGCCUGGGUGCUCAAUGGGGAGGGCUGUUUGGAAACCACCGAAGCAGUGUUUUGAAGCUCCUUAAAUCCUAGGGAAAACUGCUUCUAACAGUAAAAGCUAGAACACCUCUACCUUGAUAUAACGUGACCUGAUAUAACACGAAUUCAGAUAUAAUGUGGUAAAGCAGUGCUCUGGGUGGGGGGGGGGGGGGGGCUGCGCAGUCCAGUGAAUCAAAGCAAGUUCGGUAUAACGCGGUUUCACAUAUAACGUGGUAAGAAUUUUUGGCUCCCGAGGACGGAGUUAUAUCGAGGUAGGGGUGUACUACAAAAAAUAAAAUGCUAACUAUGUACAAGAACAAUUUUUUAUGCAAAGUUUGUGAAGCGCAUCACAAGGGAUGAGAGGACAGCAGAAGCUUUGACUUGGACCAUGCAGUGGGAAGAAGGAACUGAGAGUGAAGUCAGUCCACCCUGCCAUUAAUCACCUUGGUCGAUAUCAUGAGUUGAAACAAGGGUGCAUGUGUGGCUCACCGGACACUACUACUUUUUAAAAGCUCUGGCUCGACGUAUGCGCAUAACCCUCAGUGGAAUACCAUCACUUGAAGAAGAACUACUAGUUUUUGAGUAUCAUGCUGUCUGCCUUAUGUGGUAGUGCCUUCUUUAGUUUUAUUUUGAUUCUCCCAAUAACAAGAUGGUUGUCACUUCUAAUAUCAGUACUCGUAUACACCCUGGUGUUCAACAGUGAUCUUCUGCAGUGCCUAUUAAUGGCAAUGUGGUCAAGCUCUUUCUGGGUGAAGCCGUCAUUUGAUCUUGUCAAUUGAGGGAGAAUCAAAACCCCAAGGAGGUUCUUUGUCUGAAAGGGGAUAUCUUCACAGCUAAGGUUAAGACAAGAAUUGGGAGUUGCCAUGUUAGCAUACUUUGCAACACGGUAGACUAUUUCAGAGAAAUGAAAUUAUUUGUAUUAAGUGUAGUUGGACUGAAAUGAGAUGAGAUGGACUAGACAAGGUAAACUACCAUUGGAAAGUGUGACUUUAUUUUUUAUUCUGGGGGAGAGGAUAGCAAACAGCAGGAAGACAUAGGCUUAUUAUUGAGUAAGGAAGCUACUAAAGCACCGAAGAAGUGGUGUAAGCUCAGACAUAUUGACUACUUGCUUUGUGACAGUUCAGUGUUAUGUGCAAUAAAUUAUAGUGAUGAACAAGUCAAACACGAUUUCUGUGAAAGAUUGCAGAGUGGCCUUGGCAAGAUCAAUAAAUACAAGUUAUUCUCAUGGGAGAUCUAAAUGCGCACCAAUUGGGGAUGAUAAUUCUACAUAUGAGCAUGUUAUGGUCAGACAUGGUAUCCCACGACAGACCAACAAUGGGGAAAGUUUUGUUGAACACUGCUGCCUAUAUCUUUGUAUUUUGGAAACAAUAUUGCCACACAAGGAAAGGGACACAAAUUGCCAAAAUAUAAUGGCCUGAUUUUCAAAAGUUCUGAACACCUGCAGCUCCAGUUGACUUUAGGAGGAUUUGCAGGCACUGAACACUUUUGAAAAUCAGGCCAUGAAGAAGCAGGAGAGCAUGCCAACACUGAAAUAAUGAAACAGAUUAAAUGAAAUAAAUUGAGAGGAGAGACAGAGUAGUGAGUUUAAGGAUCUUGAUGUACAACUGUUGUGCAGUCUUUGCUUUUUUUAAGAAAACUUUUGGCAACCACUUUAGGUCAAGCAGCUUCUAUAAUAUUGCAUUAGUUUCCCUGGAUUUAGUUCUGACUUUGAGAAUUGUCAGACAGAUUGUCAUCAUUGCUGAUCCCCUCACAGAGCAUCAUUCAUCUGAAAGUUAUUUAGACAGCUAUAAGGAGAGCAAAAGAAUUUCCAUCACAAGAAAUGUUUGGCAGUUUCCAGAUAGUGAUUCUUGGAGUGUCAUGGAAGUGAGCAUCCUCCCUCUCUCACUGCUCUUUGUUAGUCUUGUCUCAUGCAUACAGAUUAAUCCAUGGACUAGACUACAUGUGGCAGUGCUUCACAGAUUCCUUUUAUAGGGCUGGAACCAUUUUCAACAGGAGAUGCAAAGGAAAGUGAAAAUAGUAUUCAGAGUAAUUUAGUUCAUCUGGCUGAGGGACUAAAACCCAGAUCACUUGGAGCAUGUUAGAUGCAAAUAAACAGACUGCCCAGAGUCAGAACUCCUUCAGCAUGCUCCAUCAGAACUUCCUGGGCAGAAGGGGUGCUAGCCAUCACAAAGAAAAUCUUACAAAAUUGUUGCCCAUCAAGCACUUAUGAAGUACUGCAAGCUUGACUUUCACCCUGCUCAGGCCUGCCAACAGGAGUUCUGGGCUCCAGGGCCAACCUUAGUGGGGGUGGAACCCAGGGUGGAAGUGACAAAUCCUUCACUUCAGGGACCAACCCCAGGCUGGCCCAUGAGGCCCGGCCCUGGAGUGGUUGUGAGCUCCUAGGAGCCCUGUGGCCCACCUGGGUGAUUUCAAAGGGCCCGAGACUCGUAGUUGCUGCUACUGCAGCAGUGGCGGUGGCCAGGGGCACCUGGGCAAUUGCCCCCUUUGCUUCCUCGUCGGUGGGCCUGAUUCUGCUGCAGAAGCAUCCUUUGGCUGAAAGAGGCCCCAAGCAGUUAAAUACUGUACCUAUGCUACUCUCAUUAGGGAAAGCAGAAACCAUUAAUCCUGCUUAUUCCUGCUUUCCUACUAUUUUUUCCCUUAUUGCUCACUGUAAUUAUCUCAGGGUAAGUCUACAUGAGUGUGAUACAUCAGCACUGAGGCAGUAUGUCUGGUGACACAAGUUAUAUCGACUUAAGCAGUAGUGUAGGCCAAUCCUCAGACUGAGGAAGAAGUCGGGAUGCAGAAGGAAAAAUUUGUCGUCUAGUGAAUUCCUUUCUGGGACCUCUUCCCAGUCUGCCCUACCUGAGAUGUAGUCUCUGAUGAUCAGUAUAAUGGCCUUUUAAGAGUCUAUGUGUAUAGUUAAUACAGUUAAGAAAUACAGAAUUGGGUUGCAAUUAAAGUUUAAUUUAAUAAAUUGUUUAUAAAGGAUAGUAAAUGAUUGAUACAUGUUAUAAGCAUGCUACAGACAUCAGAUGCAUUGUACAUGUUAAAAAAAAAAAGUAGAUGAUAUUAGAUGGUUAUAAGCAACCUCUUGAACUCUAAAAUAAUCCAUAACAAUUGAUUUAAUAGAUAUCAAAACAUCUAUUCACUAUCAACUCUUUAGAAACAGAACUUUAAUAAUAAUGGUCAGACUUUAUAGUAAAGAAGCUUGUAUUUAGCUAAUAGUAAGAAUUCAGUGUUUUCAUACAGCUUUGGAAAUACUCCAGCAUGAGGGCAGAAAAAGUAGCAUGCCUAAGCUCCAGAGUCUUGUGGACAAGUCUGAACUGCUUCUGAUAUUUGGAGGAAGAGAGAAACAGCCUAAAUGCAUUAGACUGGGGGAGAGGUGAGUCCCACAUUGGAAAUCAUCAGAUCCUGGUCUCUUCCAUCCUGCUAAAACCCCCUUGCUUGGAAGUUGUGUAGAUGCCCAGUCUCUUGUGAUGCGUAGAGAAGAGGAAGUGGAUGUCAGUCACAAGCUUACAAAGAACUAUUAUAUAUAAUAGUGAGGUGAACCAUAUUUUUUAAAUAUAUGAAAAAUAUCUUGAUGGUCCCAUUUUCAGAGAAGGCAAAACAAGAAGUAUACCAGCCUUUGAAAAAGUUUUUUUUUUUUUUUUUUUUUUUGGCGGGGGGAGGUCUUAAACAGCAUGAAGCAACAUUUUGGAAAAAAAGGUAUUUACCUUCAGAAAUCACCUUAAACACCUUUUCAUUAAGUAUAUUUGAAGGCUGUCUUUAAAAAUCAACGUAGUUUUCACAUAAUUCAUGCAGAGAUUGUAUAUUUUUAAAUUUAAUUUUUUAUUCUAUAUUUUACCUGUUACCAAAAGUGUUAUUUUACAGAAAAACACACACAUGCAUACAGUAUUCUAUAAAGCUUAAAAAAACCAAACUGGUCCAAAUGUCAUUACAAGUUGAUUAUUUUAUUUCAAUAAUGAAUGUUUUUAAAUGCUGUAUUCCUACACUUUUGUGAACAGUACACAUUUAAAUUAAAUUUACUAUUGUGUUGUGGAGUAUACAUCUGCGUGAAGCUACAUAUAGAAAAAUACACAUAGCCAAUGACUGCACCACAGCUUGGGGGAGGGAGGGCAUGGUCCAGUUUGCCAGGGGAAGGGGUAUUUCACUUUUGGGGAGUUGGGGGGAGAGGCACAUAUACUGCUGCAAAAGCAGAGUGGGUCAGUGUUGCAAUGCUGACUCAUCCCUCAGGGACCAGAAGAGCUGGGGAGUUGAUAAAGGGCAAGCCCAGCAGAAGACCCUUUUCCCUGGACCAGAUGGAGUAGCACCCAGCCUCUCAACCUUGGAAGUGGCAAAAAAGCAGGUUUGGUCAGUAUCACAGUGGGCACUGCACUAGCCACUCCUUUCUUGGGAGGCUGGGAAGGAAUUUUCCCCCUCACCACCAGAUUAGCCAAACUGGAGUGGGAGAUUUUUGCAUCCUCCACAGCAUGUUCUGGAGGGCAGCGGCUGGGGGGGUGGGGGCGUGUUGUAAUGGUGAGUAGGAAAGGAAGUUAGGCUAUGAUGUCGCAACUCAUUAUGUAAGUAUGGGGCAGAUGUCCAGUGCAGGCAUUCCACAGGGAAGGGAUACAGUGAUCAUAUAAAUGGUUUGAUAAACAACUUAAAGGAGGUGUUUGUUAAAGGAGUGGAACGGGCUGAGAGGAGGGAGGGAUGGCAUGCCCAUGGCUGGGACCUUUCUUUAUAGCUCACCUUAACCCUCAUUUGAGAGUGGGAGGUCCCAGCAAUGGAUUGGCUGGGGACCAGGAUGGGAAAAAAGGGGUUGAGGGUUGGCAGAAGUCCCCAGGAAAAUAUUGAAAUGAUCAUGGUGUUACCUGCACUGUACACUUUUAUCUGUCAGGUAGUCCCAGACAUCUAAUAAAAUUGCAGCCUGGUUAAACCAUAUUCACGUCUCCUGUCCUUCCCGUAUAGCCAGACAACAAUGUAGCAUAAGGAAGAUAUAAUAGGUGUGUGUUUAACAAUUUUGCCAUUUUUCCAUUUCUUUUGUUUCUGUUUUCCUACCCUCUCAUCUUUCACCACUGCAUAUUAAUGGCCAGUGCUUUAAAUCUACAGUAGAUUUAGAGACAAAAUAGAAUUAACAACACAUGGUAUGUGUCAGUUGGCAUUAACAUUGGCUACUCCUGACAGUUAGUAGCGUAGCUGAAACUGAGUGCCAGCUUAGCAUUAAAUAUAGUCUACAAUGUAUAUGCUAAAAUAAAAAACACUGAAUCAGUAAAGGAGGGUAAUCUCACAAAAUAUUAAAGUUUGUUAUAAAAUAGUGCAAUUCAGAAGAGCUUUUUUCCUACAUAUGGUUGGAAUGGAAAUACCAUUGCCACAUGUAUACAUUUUAGUAGAUUUGUGAACAAUGUUAAACACUAACUAAUGAAUUAGAUUUAAUUUCUAUAAGGCAACUAUAAUGCAACAGUUAAAUGUUCACAGUAGUUUACUACUAGUUUGCUUUGGUGCACUGCCAUUAAAGGCAUCUAUUUCGUCAUAAGACAAGAUUACCAGGUUUAACACUGCUGCAGUAACAAGCAAACUACUAAUAAUUCUAACUUGAGAUGUGCAGGACUAUCUGAAAUCUCAAUGCUGAAGGGCUUUAUUUCUUUCACAAAUUAGACUAUUUUUGUUUUAUUCUUUAACUGCUAAAGAAAUGCUGUUGUAGCAGUGUCUGCGUGGAGCAACAGUUACAUGCACUGGUCAUGUGCAAUCUUAGAUGUUUCUUCUCUGGGAAUGUUCCUUGUUUUUUGUUGUAAGACAUUAGUCUAACCCAAGUUUGAAAAUCCUCUCUCUCUCUCUCUCUCUCUCUCUCUCUCUCGGCCACACUUAAUUCUAAAGGCUUGGGUGUGAUGAGCAAUUU